GAAGUCCUUGAUAAUCUCUGCCAUUGUUUUCACAUGCCACAGCGUGUUAAUAGAUUACCUACCCUAUAAUGAAGUACAAAUCACAAAUUGGGAUAACUAGAUAUUUAGAAUUGCAAAGAAAUAUUGAAAUUAGACUUUUCAUGAUAUAACUAGCAAAAGAGAUCAACAAAUCAAACUCGAGGUGGUGGCAGAACCCUAUGAAGGAUGUUUCUAUUAUGAUACACUACUCUUCAGAAAAACAUGUUAACAAUUCAGUGUGUAUGUCUGGUGUUAAAACCAUAGACAGAAAUAUCGAAAUGAGACUUCAUGAUAUAACUAGCAAUAGAGAUCAACAAAUCAAACUCGAGGUGGUGGCUGAACACUACGAAGAAGGAUAUUUCCAUUAUGAUACACUACUCUGCAGAAAAACAUGAUAACAAUUCAAUGUGUAUGUCUGGUGUUAAAACCAUAGACAGAAAAUAAAGGUAGUGCAGAAUAAAUUACAUCCAUCCAAAACCACAUCUUAAACACUCUACCCUGGAACACAAGUAGUUUUUAGCUUGCGGCAACAUGCUUCAACACAUUUUUCUCUCUGUGAUUAAAUGAAGAAUAAUAAUCAAAGAAUUGAUUUAAAAGAUAAGUAUCAGUUUUAGAGACGAACCAUGGAAUUAAGGCACUCAUCCUAAAGAAUUAAGGCACUCAUCUCCAAUCACCAUGGAAAAUGACAAAAUUCUUCUUGGUGACAUUAACUUUGUUGGAGGAAUUUGAAAAAGAUGUUCAUGUCAGUUAAUAAUGUGUUUGAAGGUGGAAAAGUCAUAAGAGGUUAAAUAGAAUUUCCAAUUGGUAUUAACUAUCGCAUUACUGUCUCAAUUAAAAUCUAAAAUUUCUAAUACAUAUCAGAUCCAAUUUGGAGCACAUAUGAAUUCAAGAGCAAUUACUCAAUAAUUAACCAACAUAUAACUAAGAAGAGAGUUAUAGAUGUCACUCACUAGGCUCAGUGGUGGUGAUCAUACCAGCUCCAUUGAAAUCACAAGACCCAAGAGACUCCCUUGAUUAUCAAAGGCAUAAGAAGCACGAUACAUAAAAUUAUUAUGAUCAUAGCAACUCUCACCAAGUUGAAUCUCCAAAUGCUGAACGUACAUAAUAAUCUAAGAAGAAACUUCGAUAUCUAAUAAAACUACUCAUACAGUUUUUCCACCUUAAAGAGCAAAUUUUGUACGCAAAAGUAAUCCAGAAAGCAAGGUUUGCAUGUAUCUUGAAACAAACCCCAACUAGUCAUGAAGACAAAAUCCACCAAGCAGAACUGUGUUGUGCACAUAUAUUUCUAAUCCUGAAACAAUCCCCAAUUGUUACAUGAAACAAACUAAUGAUACCAAACCCAUCAUAUUCAAUAAUUCACAAAAAUCAAAUCACAGAUAGGAAAAAAAGCAUGGAGAAGAAGAAACCAAGAAUUCUUGACUUUAGGAAAAUGUCACCAUAAUUAUGCAAGAAGCUAGAUUUUUCAGGUAUGUUGCUCAACUAUUUUCAAACAUUUCACUGCAGAAUAACAAAUGCACAAUUUAAUAUUCAUAAAAGUUAAAUUCACAAAAAUCAAAUCACAGAUAGGAAAAAAAGCAUGGAGAAGAAGAAACCAAGAAUUCUUGACUUCAGGAAAAUGUCACCAUAAUUAUGCAAGAAGCUAGAUUUUUCAGGUAUGUUGCUCAACUAUUUUCAAACAUUUCACUGCGGAAUAACAAAUGCACAAUUUAAUAUUCAUAAAAGUUAAAUAACCCUAAGCUCUUAAUUUUAUUAUCUGAUAGAAUCCCUUCAAAAUUCCAAUUUCCAUGAUUGCAUAUUGCAGCGAUUAAUAUAUAAAAAACAGACAACUUGGACUAGCAAAUUCAUCUAAAAAAAGAAGCAGGAACAAAGAACCCAACCAUAUCGUCCUAAAAUCCCACUGUCAACAAAUCAUAUCUUAAACCAAGCAUAGGGAUGACCAAUCCAAAACAGAGAUAGAAAAAAAGUGAUUUUAUUCCCAAGGUUGGAGACCAUAAUCUUUCGCUGCAGCAGCCACUGACAUUCAUAACCCUGUAACUUCAAAGAAGAAACAUCUAAAAGGAAUGAAUCGAUAAAAAUAAACACUUAGAGAUAAUACUAUUGAACAAAUAGAAUAACUCGUCCUGGAUUAUCUCCACCAUAGCUUCCACGUGCCACCAAGUGUUCAUAGAUUACCAUCCCUACAACAAUGAAGGAGAAAUCACAAGUCCAUAAAACUACACACUUAGAACUGACAAAGAAACAUAAACGAAAAGGACUCCUGUUGCAUAGAGAUCAGAAAAUCAAACUUCCGAAGAUGCCGAUGGCUCAGCCCUAUGAAUGACAUAAAUAUUUUGACAUUUUCAGAUAAAUCCCUUGAAAAUUUCAACUUCAAUUAUUUUGAUUGCAGAUAGAAGUGAUCAAUAUAUCUACAAACAAUUUCAUCAAUUCCUAAUCCAAAGGCUGGUUCUCUGUACCACUGUAAGGAAGAGGAUAUCUAAUUAGGAGGAGAGUGAUUCGGGUAGAUCAACAUUAUAAAAAAAUUCAUUAAUAAAGUUUAGUUACUAAGCAAAUUCUUCCAAACAAAGAGCCCAGACUUGUUGUCCUUAAUUCUUCGGCUGACAUGUACGAAUUCUCUUGAAAAUACAAAGACACCCACAUUCCGGUUCACAGUGAAUAAAUCAAAUCUUAAGAUCAAACAUAAGGUAAACCUAAUAAUGUAGGAAUUCUUUGACAAUCUCUUCCUUAGCUUUUAAGUCAUUGUUUGCCUCUCUUCUACAAGAGGUAUGAAGACUCGAACCCACCAAGAAGUUGCGCAUGUAUGUCCCAAAUCCAGAAACAAACCCUACCCCAGAAAGGAAAAGAAACCCUACACAAUUAGGGACAUCAAACAGAUAAGCUGGUGAUACCAAACCAGUAAUAUCAUGUGUUCAAUAAAUAUUUGAACACUCAACUGCACAAAAACAAAUUGCACUACUUUAUUCAAAUGUGUAAUCCAUCAGAAACCAGAAAAAAGAAACCAAACUCCUAAAACAAGUUAAAUGAUCUUAUAUGUUAUCUGAUAAUAUCCCUUGAAAAUUCCAACUUCAGUUAUGUUGAUUGCAGAUAACAGUCCUCAAUUAAUUUUAGAGACAAUUUGAUCAACUUCUAACGCAAAGGCAAGUUAGGAAGAAGAUUAGGAAGGAGAGAGAUUCCUGUAGUUCAACAUUAUAAACAAUAUUCCAAUAGAAAGUAUAGGUAGCAAAAUUUUCCAAACCAAGAGGCAGGAACAAAGAGCCCAACCUUGUUGUCCUAAAUUAUCCGCGGCUGAGAUAGGAAAUAUUAUCUAACAUGUACAGAAACCUGCGGAAAACACAAAGACACCCACAUUCCAGUUCACACUAUCAAGAAAUCAAAUCUCAAGACAUAAGGACAACCAAUCUAGAAAAAAUGAUUUUAUUCCCAAGGUUGUCGAAAACCAAGAUCUUAAUCUUCAACCACAGCCACAACAUCCCACCAACAUAACCCUGUAACACCCAAGAAGAAAUCACAAAAAGGAAUGAUUUGAUAAAACUAAACACUCGAAAUUGAUAAGGAAGACUGGAAACCCAAAUCCACAGUCCAAAUAGAGAUAAUCAUAUUGAAUGAAAAGAAUUUUUGUCUUGAUUGUGUUUAAAAACCUAAAGCUGAAGAGGAAGUCCUUGACAAUCUAUGCCAUAGUUUCCAUGUGCCACUGCGUGUUCAUAUGUUAUCUCUCCUAUAACACCAAAAUAAAAAUCACAAAUUUAGGUAACUAGAUAAUUAGAAUCAACAAAGAAAUAUUGAUAUGAAAAGAAUUCAUGAAAUACAGUUGAGAGCAACAAAUCAAGGCUGAACACUAUGAAGGAUGUUACUGUUAUAAUACCCUAUGCUGCUGAAAAACAGGUUAACAAUACAAUGUGUAUGACUGGCGUUAAAACCAUAGACAAAAAAAUAAAGGUAAUAUAGAAUAAAUUAGAUUAAUCCAAAACCAUUUGCCAUUCUUAGCCUUCCAAAUCAAGAAUCUUAAAACACUCUUACACUUGAUAGUGGAUAAGUGAUAAGUAUUAUCAAGUCUUUAGUAGGAUGUCGUUGGCUUUAUACGGUGAAAGUUGGUUCUGAUGAUAAGAUUGAUCGUUUUAAAGCUCGUUUGGUAGCAAAAGGGUACACUCAAGUUUUUGGCCUCGAUUACAGUGAUACUUUCUCCCCUGUGGCUAAGAUGGCCUCUGUUCGACUACUCCUCUCUAUUGCAGCCAUCAGACAUUGGUCUCUACAUCAACUUGCCAUUAAAACUGCUUUUUUGCAUGGUGACCUUGAAGAAGAAGUGUAUAUGGAGCAACCACAUGGGUUUGUUGCUCAGGGGGAGUCCUCUACCAUGGUUUGUCGACUUCAGAGGUCUCUCUAUGGUCUUAAACAGUCUCCUCGAGCUUGGUUUGGUAGAUUUAGCACAGAAGUGCAACAAUUUGGCAUGAUUCAAAGUGAAGCUGAUCAUUCUCUUUUUUAUCGCCACUCAACCCAAGGGUGCAUUUACUUGAUUGUCUAUGUAGAUGAUAUUGUCAUAACUGGUAGUGAUCAACAGGGCAUACUCCAAUUGAAACAACAUUUAUCUCAUCAGUUUCAAACUAAAGAUCUUGGCAAGCUCCACUACUUUUUGGGUAUAGAGGUAGCCCAAUCUAAGGACGGCUUAGUAAUUUUACAAAGAAAAUAUGCUAUGGAUAUUCUUGAAGAGACAGGUUUGUUGAAUGCCAAACCGGUUGACACUCUUAUGGAUCCAAACAUCAAACUUCUACCUAAUCAUGGGGAGCCAUUUUUAGAUUCAGGGAGAUAGAGAAGAUUGGUUGGUAAAUUAAACUACCUCACAAUCACCCGUCCAGACAUUUCUUUUGCAGUCAGUGUGGUAAGUCAAUUCUUAAAUUCUCCUUGUCAAGAACACUGGGAUGCUGUGAUACGAAUCUUAAAAUACAUUAAAGGUGCUCCAGGAAAAGGUCUAAUUUAUGAAAACAGAGGACAUACUCAGAUAGUUGGUUAUUCAGAUGCCGAUUGGGCAGGCUCACCCAUUGAUAGGCGAUCCACUUCUGGGUAUUGUGUACUUGUUGGAGGAAACUUAAUAUCUUGGAAGAGUAAGAAACAAAGUGUAGUUGCAAGAUCUAGCGCUAAAGCUGAAUACAGGACUAUGGCAUUAGUGACCUGUGAACUCAUUUGGUUGAAACAGUUACUCAAAGAGCUUCAAUUUGAAGAUGCAACACAAAUGACAUUAAUAUGUGAUAAUCAAGCAGCAUUGCACAUUGUCUCUAAUCCAGUUUUUCAUGAGAGGACCAAAUAUAUUGAGAUAGAUUGUCACUUUGUAAGGGAGAAGAUCAAAUCAGGCGACAUCACCACUAGUUUUGUUAAUUUCAAUGAUCAAUUGGCAGAUGUAUUCACUAAGUCUCUGAGAGGUCCUCGAAUCAGUUAUAUAUGUAACAAGUUUGGUGCAUAUGAUUUAUAUGCUCCAGCUUGAGGGGGAGUGUUGAAAAUAUAUUUAUAUUUAUUACAUAUCAUGUAAAUAUGGAUAAUAUCUUCCAUAUUUAUUUUUGUAUUUAUUGCCUUGAGCCUAUAUAAAACAGACUCCGUUGUGUAGUUCAGACACACGGUUUCACCAUAUGUCUCUCUCAUUUUCUCUUAUUCAACAAAUACGAUAACAACAUAAUUAAAUUUAUUUAUUGAUUCAUCGUUUAAAUAAUAUAUUUUUUAUUUUAAAAGAAUUUUAAUUUUAUUAUAAUUAAUUUACAUGAGCCUAUAAUUCGAAGAUAUAAUAAUUAAGUUUUGUUAUUUUUCUGCAUGUAAACCUAUUAACAUUAUAUUGAAAUAUGAGAUGACAACCUAAAAUUAUUUUUCAUAAAUUUUCUUACAAUAUAUUUAGACUUUAAAUUUUAUAUACAAUAAACUACAACUUCAAAAGUACAUAUUUUUCUUAAGCAUUAAUUGAACAUUUCAUUGUAUAAAUUAAUAAUUAAUAUCAUACAAUAUCAUUAAAAAAAAUAGUAUCUACAACAUGCCAUAAACAGAAAUGUAAAAACUAAAUAAUAUUGUUCACAAUUUAAUACUAUAGCAUAGCAUGUUUCGAGUACAUCUCUAAGAUGGUUUUAAAUUAAAUAUUUCUUCAAAUAAUUUGACUAGAAUAAGCUUUAAUUAAAACUAUAUCUAAUUUUUUAUCCAAUUUCAAAUUUUUGGAGUUUCUUUCUUAAAGAAAGACCAAAAAGUUAAGAAAAAAAAAAUACAGAUAAAACAAAACUAACAUCCAAAAUGCAAGAAAAAAUGCUACGUUAACUCUGUCAGUAGCGUAGUUGAACGUCACAAUUUAUUAACCACAGUUUAAAUUCAAAUUAGCCACGCUUAAAAGAAUCGUGGUAAAAUAUUUUUAGCCACAGUUGUUUUACGAUUAGCCACACUAAACCAUGUUAAUUGAUAACACAACAUUUCUGUUUUCACUUUUCCCAUGGGCCAAUCGUGGCUAAUGUUUUUUUUUUUUUUUUAAUAUCUGUUGCCAGGUCUUUCCUUAUUUUGAUCAUAAUUUCUUAACAUUGUCAAACCAAAUAUUUUACAAUAAAUUAAUCAAGAUAAAACCCAUAAAAUAUGUCAUAAACAUAACUAUUUAUUUGCAAUACACUAGGAAGAUAUUCUUAACAAAUAUAGCAACAAUAACUAAUUAUUAAUAUAAAAGUAUAAAAUAGUUUACACCAACAACAAAACUUAAACUAGUAGUCAAAGUGUCAAAACAUUCUAAAAUCUUAUAGAUAAACUAAUGAAGCAUACAAAACCCGUGCUUUGACAGCUAUCACCUGGUAUAUUCCCAACAGAGGCAACAUAUAUAUAAAUUCAUCCAGAAAUAGGAAUGGUGAGUUUCCCAUGAAGUAUGUUGUUGAAACAUCACUUGUUCAAGUAUUUAAUGUAAAUUGGAUGAAUAUGGCCAGAGUUUCCAGCAUUACAAUUCAACUAUCAAAAUCAAAGUCAAAUAACAAACAAUCAUUAAUCAUAACAAUUUAAAGCUCUAGGAAGCUACCAGGAUAAUUAGUUGAUUAAUAGAUCAGUAUUCAAAACCAAGGUAGUCUAAGUUUGAUAUAUGCUAAACAUAUAAAUCUUAGUAUAAAUUUGAUGUAAUGGAAGUUUAGAGCUCAAAACAACCUCUGUAUCAUACUGCAGAGUCUUCACACAAUCUAAGUCUGGUUUGCAGACCAGAAGCUUUCCACAAUCAACAUCCAUGUUGCAGAUCAAGGAAGCCAUGAACAAGUCUUCUUCACUCUGUCACUUAAAGACACCAAAGCUGAAAAAUGACUAAGUGACAAUAAAUAUUGCACAAACCAUUUAAAGGCAAAAUGUAGUCAUAAAUACAGCAGUUUGCUCAUGGUAAUGCAUGCAUUGUUGGCUUUCUUCAAAUUGAAUAGAAAAUCAAAUAUUGGUCGAGAACUGACAAAAAUGCAUGCUAUAACCCUACUACAUGACAAAUUGAGAUAACCCUAUAAUGAAGUACAAAUCACAAAAUGAGAUGACUAGAUAUUUAGAAUUGCAAAGAAAUAUUGAAAUGAGACUUCAUAUAACUAGCAAUAGAGAUCAACAAAUCAAACUCGAGGUGGUGGCUGAACACUAUGAAGAACGAUAUUUCUAUUAUGAUACACUACUCUGCAGAGAAACAUGCUACCAAUUCAAUGUGUAUUGUGUAUGUCCAGUGAUAAAACCAUAGACAGAAAAAAAAAGGUAAUGCAGAAUAAAUUACAUUCAUCCAAAACACAUCUUAAACACUCUACCCUAGAACACAAGUAGUUUUAGCCUUUCAGAAAACACAUCAAAACUCCAGCUUGCUGCAACACUUCAACACAUUUAUCUCUCUGUGAUUAAACGAAGAAUAUCAAUCAAAGAAUUGAUUUAAAAGAAUAGUAAGAAUAAGUAUCAGUUUUUUAGAUGAACCAAGGAGUGUUUCUCAAGAAUAGUAAGAAUAAGUAUCAGUCAUAAAAAAUAAGAAGAAACUCUGAAAUCGAAACCAAUCAAAGCAGACAAUCAUUCUAAAGAGUUAAGGCACUCAUCUCCGAUCACCAUGGAAAAUGAUAAAAUUCGUCUUGUUAACAUUAACUUGUUGGAGGAAUUUGAAAAAGAUGUUCAUGUCAGUUAAUAAUGUGUUUGAAGGUGGAAAAGUCAUAAGAGGUGAAAUAGAAUUUCCAAUUGGUAUUAACUAUGGCAUUAAUGUCUUAAUUAAAAUCAAAAAUUUCUAAUGCAUAUCAGAUCCAAUUUGGUGCACAUUCAAGAGCAAUUACUCGGGAAUUAACGAACAUAUAACUAAGAAGAGCCUUAUAGAUGUCACUCACUAGGCUCAGUGGUGGUGAUCAUAGCAGCUCCAUUGAAAUCACAAGACCCAAGAGACUCCCUUGAUUAACAAAGGCAUAAGAAGCAUGAUACAUAAAAAUUAUUAUGAUCAUAGCAACUCUCACCAAGUUGAAUCCUCCAAAUGCUGAACGUACAUCAUAAUCUAGGAAGAAACUUCAAUAUCUAAUAAAACUACAUAUACAUCUCAGAACUUCAUAAAGAAACAUAUAGGAACAUGAAUAAAACUACUCAUUCAGUUCUUCCACCUUGAGGAGCAAAUUUUGUAGGCAAAAGCAAUCCAGAAUGAAGACAAAAUCCACCAAGCAGAACUGUGUUGUGCACUUGUAUAUUUCUAAUCCUGAAACAAUCCCCAAUUGUUUACACGAAGAAGCAUGAUGACAACAUCAAACAAACAAAUGAUACCAAACCCAUCAUAUUCAAUAAUUCACAAAAAUCAAAUACUUAAAAUCACAGGUAGGAAAAAUAAGCAUGGAGAAGAAGCAACCAAGAAUUCUGACUUUAGGAAAAUGUCACCAUAAUUAUGCAAGGAGCUAGAUUUUUCAGGUUGCUCAACUAUUUUCAAACAUUUCACUGCAGAAUAACAAAUGCA
This 8935-nucleotide long non-coding RNA is filed under the name Cicer arietinum (chickpea). RNAcentral's name for it is "long non-coding RNA (CARI_LNC001315)". The record is from RNAcentral. Lineage: Eukaryota; Viridiplantae; Streptophyta; Magnoliopsida; Fabales; Fabaceae.